UUUCUCCUCUAGUUAGAAUAGGCAGUUUAUUUUCUUGGGGAAAUCAAAACUUCUGUCUGCCCCCAUCCUUUCCCUAGUGUUUCCUGAAAUGUUUAACAGCAUCCUCUUUGCCUUUUUCCCAGAGACUGAGUUCCUCUUUGUGGUCAAGGUUCCUCUUCCCUCCUCCUUAGUCACUGAGAAACAAGGACCAUGUUAAUACAUCUUUGCAGGGAAAACAGAUGAUCCUGGUGGCCAAAAUACACCAUUUCUUCUGGUUUGAUGCUUUGCAGGUGCUCUGUGUGCACCCUCACUGCAUCCAGCGGGGUGACCAUGCUCCACAUCUCCCAGGGUCACUUUUCCCUCCAAAGGAAAGGCCUCUCAGGAGCAGCAGAUAGAAAACUAGCCCUGGGAACUCUGCAUUUUUUGGAGGAAACCUGCACAAUAUGCUUUUCAAGCCUGCUGUUCCAGAAGAGCAACUCAACACGUGCUGAACUUUGAUCCCCUGUCAAGGAAUAAAGCUGAACCGAGGGGGAAAGGAGCAUUUAUUCCCAGUGGAUAAGGAGAGAAAGGCUGAAAUGAAGGAUUUU
Molecule: long non-coding RNA, 566 nt
Organism: Zonotrichia albicollis (white-throated sparrow)
Lineage: Eukaryota; Metazoa; Chordata; Aves; Passeriformes; Passerellidae
Source: RefSeq, a predicted model, not a curated record